Molecule: long non-coding RNA, 1356 nt
Organism: Hemicordylus capensis (graceful crag lizard)
Lineage: Eukaryota; Metazoa; Chordata; Lepidosauria; Squamata; Cordylidae
Exons: 5
Source: RefSeq, a predicted model, not a curated record
UGGGCUGUGUGCCUUCAGCAACUACGAGUGAUCACUCGUAGACCCUUUCGCCUCCAUCUUUGUUGGGCCAUUGCCCGUUCCGUCGGCCUUGUCAGCCCUUGCUCAGACUGCUGGGGGCCCAGAGGGUUUGUACAAUUUCUAAUGGUGACCAACAUGAAAAGAAAGCUAGUCUAAGAAGCCUUCCCAACUUGGGGGUGCCUCUAGCUCAAGACCAUCCCAUCCAAUCUAUCUUCUGCAGUAAGUGAAGAACAGAAGACAAGGAAGUAAAGAAGGAAGUCAAGUUAGGAAGGACAGCUGAGCACCAGAGAGAGGGCACUACAUGGAGAAAGAGGUAUCUUUUCAGUGCCUCAGAAUGAUGCCGCAUUGGAAUAAUUGUGGGGGAAAUAGUGGCUGGCAGCUGCUAAGAGGAGUACCAUUGCUAUCACCCAUGGAUCUGUAAAGAUAUGUGCACCUGAUGUAAGUCUAAGCCUUCAUUUUGUGAAAAAUACAGGAAAAGGUCAUCUUGCUUCACAGUGUGCAGGUCUUGGAAAAUAUGAAAUUCAAACACUGAGUGGUUCUGGACCUUUUCCAUAAAAGUGUCAGGAGAAAGCUGUGGCCUUUAAUGAUCACAGGCAUCUAUGCUCAAUUGAGUGUGACUAGAUGAAGCCAGAAUUCAAACUGAAUCUCCUCAGUGAAUUGUCUACUGAUUGAGAUGUAGCUCAGCAAAAAGAAGAAGAAAAAGAAAUGUUCCCAAGAGAACCAAUCUGUAUUGAGACAGCAAGUGUGAAACCUGAUUUGAGGCUAGUAGUAUUCUUCCGUCAAGACAAGCUGUGGAAUUGGAAAAGAAGUAGGAAACAAGGUAAUUGUUUUAGGUUAAGGUAGUUCUAUCUAUUGCCUGUCGAAAUACUCUUAAAGAGAAAUAUUAUUGCAACCUGGACCUAUGCAUGCAUACUCUGAAGUAACUCACACUGAUUUCUAUUCAGGUCCUACUUCCAAUAAGUGUAUAUAUAAUUGCAACAUUAAUAUCGUAUCCUAUUCAAGAACACAUCCGUUAUGUCUGAAAAUUGAUGUUCUUGUAAACUUCCCUGACCUUAAGGACCCCUCUCCUGUAUGUUCCUCUUUAUCCUCUUAGAUCAUCAGGAAAACAUUUCUGUAUUUUAAAACAAUUUCUUCUGGCUGACUUGUGCAUUGUAACAUUUUUAGCUUAUCACUGUUCUAGUCUAGCUGGCUUUUUUGUGUUUUAAGGGGUUUUUAAAUGUUUUAUGAACACUGUUUUGUUGGUGUUUUGUAUUUUAUUAUUCUUGUAUGUCAGCUGAACGCUAAUUUGGCAGAGAGUACAACUUAUAAAUAACUGAAAUAAAUAAAUACAAGCUUGUA